CGACGGACGGGUGAGUAACGCGUGGGUAACCUACCCUGUACACACGGAUAACAUACCGAAAGGUAUGCUAAUACGGGAUAAUAUAUUUGAGAGGCAUCUCUUGAAUAUCAAAGGUGAGCCAGUACAGGAUGGACCCGCGUCUGAUUAGCUAGUUGGUAAGGUAACGGCUUACCAAGGCGACGAUCAGUAGCCGACCUGAGAGGGUGAUCGGCCACAUUGGAACUGAGACACGGUCCAA
This 238-nucleotide ribosomal RNA is filed under the name uncultured bacterium. RNAcentral describes it as "partial 16S ribosomal RNA". It matches the Rfam family "Bacterial small subunit ribosomal RNA", at positions 96 to 334 of the family's 1533-position model. The record is from RNAcentral.